RNAcentral lists this ribosomal RNA (610 nucleotides) under uncultured bacterium. RNAcentral describes it as "bacterial SSU rRNA". It matches the Rfam family "Bacterial small subunit ribosomal RNA", at positions 338 to 1415 of the family's 1533-position model. The record is from RNAcentral.
CCUACGGGAGGCAGCAGUGGGGAAUCUUGCGCAAUGGGCGAAAGCCUGACGCAGCAACGCCGCGUGCGGGAAGAAGGCUUUCGGGCUGUAAACCGCUUUCAGCAGGAACGAAAAUGACGGUACCUGCAGAAGAAGGAGCGGCCAACUAUGUGCCAGCAGCCGCGGUGAUACAUAGGCUUCAAGCGUUGUCCGGAUUUAUUGGGCGUAAAGAGUUCGUAGGCGGUCGAGUAAGUCGGGUGUGAAAAUUCUGGGCUCAACCCAGAGACGCCACCCGAUACUGCUUAACUUGAGUUCGAUAGGGGAGUGGGGAAUUCCUAGUGUAGCGAUGAAAUGCGCAGAUAUUAGGAGGAACACCGGUGGCGAAGGCGCCACUCUGGAUCGAUACUGACGCUGAGGAACGAAAGCAUGGGUAGCAAACAGGAUUAGAUACCCUGGUAGUCCAUGCCGUAAACGGUGGGCACUAGGUGUGGGAUUCUAUUAACGAAUUCCGCGCCGUCGCUAAACGCAUUAAGUGCCCCGCCUGGGGGAGGUACGGUCGCGAGAACUAAACUUAAAGGUAAAGUUAGUACGGCGUGAGACGUGCCGAACGGACGACGACGAGGGAGGUAGG